UCACCACGCAUCCCGCCUUCUCGGCCGCCCUCAUGGAGGGCCCCCACUGCCGCGCCAUGUCCUCCAGAACGGUGCACACGGGGUUUUCGGAGGAACGAGGGAGACAGCGAGGACCCCGGUCGGGACCCACGGGUCCCACGCAGCGCCACCCAAAGCUGGAAGCGAGAGAGUCCCGUGAUUCUCCCUUAAUGACACUCAAGCCUCCAGCACGAACCGUUCGUUAUGCAUCAGGUUUUUCUGCUUACAGCACAUUAAAGAGUCCCCAGUCACAGCCAGCAGCCAAGGAAGGAAACAACUUUUGCUUCCCCACCCCCACCACACACACAACAAACAUCAGGAGAUGUUCAAACUCAGAACCAACCAACGCAAAUAAAUGAAAAAAUAAAUGGCAGAAGAUAGCAAGUUUGUUUU
Non-coding RNA from Callorhinus ursinus (northern fur seal), 411 nucleotides. NCBI's taxonomy places the organism in Eukaryota, Metazoa, Chordata, Mammalia, Carnivora, Otariidae. The record is from RefSeq and is a predicted model, not a curated record.